This 600-nucleotide ribosomal RNA is filed under the name uncultured bacterium. RNAcentral describes it as "bacterial SSU rRNA". It matches the Rfam family "Bacterial small subunit ribosomal RNA", at positions 801 to 1504 of the family's 1533-position model. The record is from RNAcentral.
CGUAACGAUGUCGAUUUGGAGGUUGUGGCUUCGGAGCUAACGCGUUAAAUCGACCGCUGGGGAGUACGGCCGCAAGGUUAAAACUCAAAUGAAUUGACGGGGGCCCGCACAAGCGGUGGAGCAUGUGGUUUAAUUCGAUGCAACGCGAAGAACCUUACCUGGUCUUGACAUCCAGGUGCUGCAUGGCUGUCGUCAGCUCGUGUUGUGAAAUGUUGGGUUAAGUCCCGCAACGAGCGCAACCCUUAUCCUUUGUUGCAACUCAAAGGAGACUGCCAGUGAUAAACUGGAGGAAGGUGGGGAUGACGUCAAGUCAUCAUGGCCCUUACGACCAGGGCUACACACGUGCUACAAUGGCAUAUACAAAGAGAAGCGACCUCGCGAGAGCAAGCGGACCUCAUAAAGUAUGUCGUAGUCCGGAUUGGAGUCUGCAACUCGACUCCAUGAAGUCGGAAUCGCUAGUAAUCGUAGAUCAGAUGCUACGGUGAAUACGUUCCCGGGCCUUGUACACACCGCCCGUCACACCAUGAGAGUUUGCAACACCCAAAGUCGGCGCCUAAGGUGGGGCAGAUGAUUAGGGUGAAGCGUAACAAGUAACCAAGG